RNAcentral lists this unclassified non-coding RNA (584 nucleotides) under Hevea brasiliensis (rubber tree). Lineage: Eukaryota; Viridiplantae; Streptophyta; Magnoliopsida; Malpighiales; Euphorbiaceae. The record is from RNAcentral.
UAACUCUUCCACCAUUGCAAUAGAAUGCUUCCGGCGGUACUGUAGAAGUAGAACGCGCUCAUCUUUCUGAGAAGCUUACCGGAAAGCUUAGGAAGAUUAGCUCCGACAAGUCAAUUUAUAUUUCCUGCUCAGUCCAGUAAAAGCAAGAAAACUUUUUCCUGGAAAAUAGAGAAGAAAAGAAGAUGAACAGUACAUCACCAGCUCAUUCAUCAGUAUCAACAACAGCAAUCGUUGGAGGCGGCGGUAGCAAUGCCGCUUUGGAAGAUUUUCAUUUCCCUUCCGAUCUUAUAUCUAUCCAAGACCGCAAGGAAGAAGCCAUGCUUGUUCUGAAAGCUGAUUUGAUGGCUGCACUUAACAAAGAGGUUAAAUCCUUGGAUGAAGAUAAUUGGAAGUUUGAAGGACCUCGUUCACGCAUCAACCUUAUAUCAAGGCCUGGUGGAUUUCUAAACAAGAAGAUGGAAAUAACAAAGAAUAGGAACAUAGCUCCACCAAAGUAAAUUGGAUUUUUCAGACAGGUCUCAUCUUUCAUCUGCUGCCUCUGAGAAAUCUGUUCUGCUGCUGCUGGCAAGACUAAAGCUGUUUUG